CGGGUGCGUAACACGUGAACAACCUGCCCUCGUGUGGGGGAUAGCCAUGCUAACGCGUGGGUAAUACCGCAUACGUUUCCUGAAGGGAGUCCUUUGGGAAGGAAAGCUCCGGCGCACGGGGAGGGGUUCGCGGCCUAUCAGCUAGUUGGCGGGGUAACGGCUCACCAAGGCAACGACGGGUAGCUGGUCUGAGAGGAUGAUCAGCCACAGUUGGGACUGAGACACGGCCAA
This 231-nucleotide ribosomal RNA is filed under the name uncultured bacterium. Its description in RNAcentral is "partial 16S ribosomal RNA". It matches the Rfam family "Bacterial small subunit ribosomal RNA", at positions 103 to 333 of the family's 1533-position model. The record is from RNAcentral.